Molecule: ribosomal RNA, 303 nt
Filed under: uncultured bacterium
Lineage: Bacteria
Description: bacterial SSU rRNA
Rfam family: Bacterial small subunit ribosomal RNA
Source: RNAcentral
AUUGAACGCUGGCGGCAUGCCUUACACAUGCAAGUCGAACGGUAACGCGGGGGCAACCUGGCGACGAGUGGCGAACGGGUGAGUAAUGCAUCGGAACGUGCCCAGUAGUGGGGGAUAGCCCGGCGAAAGCCGGAUUAAUACCGCAUACGACCUACGGGUGAAAGCGGGGGACCGUAAGGCCUCGCGCUGUUGGAGCGGCCGAUGUCAGAUUAGGUAGUUGGUGGGGUAAAGGCCUACCAAGCCUUCGAUCUGUAGCUGGUCGUGAGAGGACGACCAGCCACACUGGGACGUGAGACACGGCCC